GAGGCCGCAUGAAACGGCAAUUCCUAGAUCGGAUUGCAAAUCCGUCUACGCCGGUUCGAUUCCGACCUCGGCCUCC
Molecule: transfer RNA, 76 nt
Filed under: Pseudomonas mosselii
Lineage: Bacteria; Pseudomonadati; Pseudomonadota; Gammaproteobacteria; Pseudomonadales; Pseudomonadaceae
Description: tRNA-Ser
Source: RNAcentral